UGAGGAAUAUUGGUCAAUGGGUGCAAGCCUGAACCAGCCAUCCCGCGUGAAGGACGACUGCCCUAUGGGUUGUAAACUUCUUUUGUAUAGGGAUAAACCUACCCUCGUGAGGGUAGCUGAAGGUACUAUACGAAUAAGCACCGGCUAACUCCGUGCCAGCAGCCGCGGUAAUACGGAGGGUGCAAGCGUUAUCCGGAUCUAUUGGGUUUAAAGGGUCCGUAGGCGGACUUAUAAGUCAGUGGUGAAAGCCUGUCGCUUAACGAUAGAACUGCCAUUGAUACUGUAAGUCUUGAGUAUAUUUGAGGUAGCUGGAAUAAGUAGUGUAGCGGUGAAAUGCAUAGAUACUACGUAGAACACCAAUUGCGAAGGCAGGUUACCAAGAUAUAACUGACGCUGAGGGACGAAAGCGUGGGGAGCGAACA
RNAcentral lists this ribosomal RNA (422 nucleotides) under uncultured bacterium. Its description in RNAcentral is "bacterial SSU rRNA". It matches the Rfam family "Bacterial small subunit ribosomal RNA", at positions 355 to 774 of the family's 1533-position model. The record is from RNAcentral.